CCCUUAGAUGUUCUGGGCUGCACGCGCGCUACACUGAUUCAUUCAACGAGUUUUUAUUAUUUUCCUACUCCGAAAGGAAUGGGUAAUCUUUUGAAAUUGAAUCGUGCUGGGGAUAGAUGAUUGCAAUUAUUCAUCUUGAACAAGGAAUACCUAGUAAGCGUAACUCAUCAGGUUGCGUUGAUUACGUCCCUGCCCUUUGUACACACCGCCCGUCGCUCCUACCGAUUGAAUGUUCCGGUGAAAUGUUGGGAUGCUGAAACGCUUGGAGGGCAACUUUCAUUGUUUUAGCAGAACAUCCUUAAACCUUAACAUUUAGAGGAAGGAGAAGUCGUAACA
RNAcentral lists this ribosomal RNA (336 nucleotides) under uncultured eukaryote. RNAcentral describes it as "partial 18S ribosomal RNA". It matches the Rfam family "Eukaryotic small subunit ribosomal RNA", at positions 1470 to 1796 of the family's 1831-position model. The record is from RNAcentral.